Molecule: ribosomal RNA, 1026 nt
Filed under: uncultured archaeon
Lineage: Archaea
Description: bacterial SSU rRNA
Rfam family: Archaeal small subunit ribosomal RNA
Source: RNAcentral
UCCAGGCCCUACGGGGUGCAGCAGCAGUGAAUCUUUUACAAUGCGCGAAAGCGUGAUAGAGCGAGCCAAAGUGCUUAACUUUUUGUUAAGCUUUUAUCAGGUGUAAACAUACUGAUGAAUAAGGACUGGGAAAGACCGGUGCCAGCCGCCGCGGUAAUACCGGCAGUUCUAGUUGCAACCAACAUUAUUGGGUCUAAAACAUCCGUAGCUUGUUUCGUAAGUUUCUCGUGAAAUUUCAUAUCUCAAGUAUGAAGCGUGCGAGAAAUACUGCGAGGCUAGAGAUCGGUAGGUGUAAGAAGUACGCGAGAGGUAGUGGUAAAAUACGUUAAUCUUUCGUGGACUCACAAUUAGCGAAGGCAUCUUACAAGGACGAAUCUGACAGUGAGGGAUGAAGGCCAGGGGCGCAAAACGGAUUAGAUACCCGUGUAGUCCUGGCAGUAAACACUGUUCACUAAACAUUGGGGCCUCUUCGGGAGGUUUCAGUGCUGAAGCGAAGGCGUAGAGUGAACUACCUGGGAAGUAUAGUCGCAAGAUCGAAACUUAAAGGAAUUGGCGGGGAGACACUACAACGAGUGACGCGUGCGGUUCAAUUAGAUUUUACACCGUGAACCUCACCAGGAGCGACAGCAGAAUGAAGGUCAGUCUAAAGGGCUUACCUGACGCGCUGAGCGGAGAUGCAUGGCCGACGUCAGCCUGUGUUGUGAAAUGACCUGUCAAAUCAGGUAACAGGCGAGACCCGUGUGUAUAAUUACUACCGGAAGGAGAACAUUAUACAGACUGCCUUGGUAACAAGGAGGAAGGUGCGGGCUACGUUAGGUGAGUACGUCCCUAAUCCCCUGGGCUACACGCGCGCGGCAAUGGUAGAUUCAAUGAGAUGCGACUCCGAAAGGAGAAGCUAAUCCCCUAAUGUCUAUCUCAGUUCAGAUUGAGGCUUGCAACCCAGCCUCAUGACGUUGGAAUUCGUAGUAAUCGGAUGUUAGCAGCGUCCGGUGAAUAUGUCCCUGUCUCUUGCACACACCGCCCGUC